This 430-nucleotide ribosomal RNA is filed under the name Bacteroidota bacterium. RNAcentral's name for it is "Bacteroidetes bacterium partial 16S ribosomal RNA". It matches the Rfam family "Bacterial small subunit ribosomal RNA", at positions 355 to 776 of the family's 1533-position model. The record is from RNAcentral. Lineage: Bacteria; Pseudomonadati; Bacteroidota.
UAGGGAAUCUUCGGCAAUGGGGGGAACCCUGACCGAGCAACGCCGCGUGAGUGACGAAGGUUUUCGGAUCGUAAAGCUCUGUUGUUAAGGAAGAACGAGUGUGAGAAUGGAAAGUUCAUACUGUGACGGUACUUAACCAGAAAGGGACGGCUAACUACGUGCCAGCAGCCGCGGUAAUACGUAGGUGGCAAGCGUUGUCCGGAUUUAUUGGGCGUAAAGCGAGCGCAGGCGGUCAAUUAAGUCUGAUGUGAAAGCCCCCGGCUCAACCGGGGAUGGUCAUUGGAAACUGGGUGACUUGAGUGAAGAAGGGGGGAGUGGAAUUCCAUGUGUAGCGGUGAAAUGCGUAGAUAUAUGGAGGAACACCGGUGGCGAAAGCGGCUCUCUGGUCUGUAACUGACGCAAAGGCUCGAAAGCGUGGGUAGCAAACAGG